RNAcentral lists this long non-coding RNA (44524 nucleotides) under Brassica napus (rape). Its description in RNAcentral is "long non-coding RNA (BNAP_LNC014343)". The record is from RNAcentral. Lineage: Eukaryota; Viridiplantae; Streptophyta; Magnoliopsida; Brassicales; Brassicaceae.
UAGGGCACAAUAUUAGUGCUACAGACAAACAACACGUAACUUAUUACAACAAACGAAACAAGAAAAAAAAAGGCUUCUAGGGAACUUCAAUUCUUAAGAUUUAUAAUUAAGGACUAGGCUUCAAGGUGUUGGCAACAUCAAUCACAAAACGGUAUCUAACGUCAGCCUUCUGGAGCCGUUCCAUGGCAGUGUUGACAUAAUCCGCAGAGAUAAGCUCAAUAUCUGCCGUGAUGUUGUGUUUUCCGGCCAAAUCCAUCAUCUCUUGAGUCUCUUUUAUCCCUCCUACCAUACUUCCCACCACCAUCUUUUUCCCUAUUAUAUAUUCACAACCACAAAUAUAUUCUCAAUGUUUAUCAACUGUACACUUGAAAUGUUAUUAAAUUUGUUAUGAUAAAUUGAUAAUAGUCAUGGAUAUAUAUGUCGGUAGAUUUUAUUAAUGAUACAAAAUACCAGGACAGGCCCAGAGAUUUAAAAAGCUAUAUGUAAUUUAGUAGGAGUUUUAUUAAUAAUUUUUUUUUUUUAAAUUUGACGUGAUAUAAUGCAAUAAGGCCACACGGCCAAAGUGAUAUAUGAUGCAUAAUAAGUCACACAGAUUUAUCAAGCAAGGGUAUCGACCAAACAAGCAAUUUCUAUAUGUUUUCAUGCGGCCAUAUGGUUAUAAUGCAAACCUAGCAUACUGAUUCUAUAUGUACAGGAGUGGAAUUAUGGAACCUCAAUUUAAAACAAUCAGAUCAUGCAAAGGUGAUAAUAAUCAGAUCAUGCGCAUAACAUAAACAUGUUGGUCAGGAUGAUAUAUGAUGCAAACUGGCCACACGGCCAAGUAGAUAUGAUGCACUCAUUCUUAGCAAUCGGAUUCUAUAUGUGCAAGGAUAAUAUUAAAACAUUCAAUCAAGGUUUAGCAAUUAAUCAAUCAGUUUCAGGUAUGAGAUUUAGGUAGACUAACAAUCAGAUUCAAUUAGAUUUUAUCAAGACUAGCAUUUGGAUCAAUAAUCAAAAAUAAUCAAACGGAUUCAAGCAUUACACAAUUUAGGGUUUCGAUCCAAAAAUAGGGUUUCAAUCAUGAAAAACCAAAACAAUCAGUUUCAAGGCUGAUUCUAUCAAUUUUAUUAAUCAGUUUCAAGGCUGAUAUUAGCAAGAUGGAAUCAAACAAUCUGAUUUUAGGAAUACGCAAAUUAGGGUUUAGGGUUUCAAUUCAAAUUUAGGGUUUUAUCAAUCAAUCAGCUUCUAGCAAAUAAUCUUAAACCUCAGAACAGUUGAUUAUAUCAUGAAACUAUCAACCUAGUAUAAUAUGAAACCUCAAAACAUUCAAUUCGGAUUAUGCAGUACACGGAUUCUAUUUUAGGGUUUAUCAAUUCGAAUUAGGGUUUAUAUUAUAACAGAUUCUAACAUGAAAUAUUAAACCUCAAAUCAUUCAAUCAGGUUAUAAAAACUAUCAAUCCUAACUCACAUGGAUUUAAGCCUCAAAGAAACAUUCAAUCAAUCAAAUAAAACAAUCCAUGCACACGUAAAUUAGGGUUUACAGAUUUUAAGGUUUCACUUUGAACAUUAGUUCAUUCGAUUCUGGGUUCUUAGAGUUUAGGUAUACCUUAAACCUUUGAUGGGUUGAAUGGACCACCAAGAGAAUGAGCUUACGUGGACUGGUACAAAUUGGAACCUUACGAGGACUGGUCCAAACUGUUUCCUUGCAGUCCGCGAGGUGAGAUCGGGUACAAGUUGAGAUCGAAAGUGAUUAGGGUUUAUCGAUAGAGAGAGAGGUGAUCGAUAGAGAUUAGGGUUUUAGCAAUGGAGAGAGAUUUAGGGUUUAUGGUCGAUAUUUUAGCUUAGGGUUUCAGAGAUCAAUCGUGCUGAUAACGUGUUAUAAAAGUAAUGGAAAAGUCUAUCUUUAUUCAUAACAUAGAGGUUCCUUAUAUAGGAGAUUACACCGUCAAAGAUAAAUGGAAAUAUUACAAAUCAUAAUUUCUUGGUUAUGAGCCAUCCACGAUAUGGUUCAUAACAUAUAAUGUUUAUUAAUUUGAUUAAGGUAUACUACAUCGCCCCAACCUCCUCAAUAAACAGCAUAAAACUUAUUACAACAAACCAAACAAGAACAAUAUCAUUAUGGAACUUCAAUUCUUAAGAUUUAUAAUUAAGGAGUAGGCUUCAAUGUGUUGGCAACAUCAAUCACAAAACGGUAUCUAACGUCGGCCUUCUCGAGCCGUUCCAUGGCAGUGUUGACAUAGUCCGCAGAGAUAAGCUCAAUAUCAGCAGUGAUGUUGUGUUUUCCUGCCAUAUCCACCAUCUCUUGAGUCUCCUUUAUCCCUCCUAUCAUACUUCCCAUUACCAUCUUCCUCUCUAGACAUACACAAUAACAAAAAAAAAACAUAAUUCUAAUGUUAUUUUCACUAACUUUUUUCUUGUCAAAUGUUUAUAUGUUUAAACCAAAUUUUAGUCAAUAAAAAAGGUUAUUCCGCACUUUUUCUAUACACAAAAAAAUUACCGCAAGAAAGUAAACGGAUUUGUUACUAAAACCACAUAAAUAUGGCUAAAUACGGACAUAAUAGGCUUACCGAAGAUGAGAGGCAUGACCGGGAGCUCGAGUGGCUUUUCUGGUGCACCAACCAUAACAAGUUUUCCCUUAGGCUUUAGCAAACCGAGCAAAGGAAGAAGGGAAUGAGUCGCAGAUACGGUAUUAAUAAUACCAUCCAAUGUCCUCAUUGCAUCCUUAAUCUGUUUUUGGUCACGGCUCACCACGAACGCGUCCGCACCAAGCCUAUUAAUCGCUUCAUCUCUCUUACUAUCCGAAGUACUAAUAACCGUAACCUUAAGACCCAUAGCCUUAGCAAAUUUCACCGCCACAUGACCCAAACCGCCUAGUCCAACCACACCAAUGUGCAUGCCAGGCUUGUCGAGCCCGUGAUAUUUUAGCGGGGAGUAGACCGUGAUCCCCGCGCAUAGUAGCGGAGCAGCAGCGUCCAAUGGGAGAUUGUCGGGCAUACGGAUGAUGAAACCUUCGUCGCAAACCAUGUUGUCGGAGUAACCACCGUAGGUUAUUGUGUCGUCGUAAUACUUGAAUCCGUACGUUUGGAUCGAUUUUGGACAGUAGUUCUCGAGACCUUCGGUGCAGCUAUCACAUGAUCCGCACGAGCCAACCAAGCAACCUACUCCGACUUUGUCUCCAGUUUUGAAUCUAGUCACUUUGCUUCCCACUUCAGUCACCACACCAACAAUCUCAUGCCUGAACAAAUAAAAAAACACAAGUUUCGGAUUUAAAAAUGCUCAUCGCCUAAUUUAAUAGUUCUUGAUGUUCUAAAAAUCGGUUUAAAUUAGACGCCCACGUAAAUUAGUCAUAACCGAAAUGAUUUUAUUAAAACCUAAUUUAUACUAAUCAAAUCGGUUUAAACUGUUCUAAAAAAGAAUAUUAAUCUAAAUUGGUAUAAAUUUUUUAAAUCAGCCAAUAAUGCUAGUUCAAAUCUAUGUCUAGUUUCUUUCUUUUUGUAAAUCUAAUUUUUAUAGGUCAUUAAAAUAAUUUUAUAAUUAAUUUUUAAAUGAAAAUAUCUAAUAGAAAUGUAAAAUAUAUAAUAAUAAAUCAAUAAUUCGUUAACAUCUAAACCCUUUCUAGGCUCCCAGUAACCCGUCUAGUCGAUAGUCCUCUGCUAAACGUCUAAUUAGUGCCUCACAAAUCUUUUGAACAUUUGUACUCUUAGAAAUAAUGUUCAUACGUCGCUUUAUGUUUAAAUAACAUACAUAUUUUACUCUAACACACACAUAUUAUAAGAUUGGUAAAAUAUAAAUUUAUGUAUUACGUACCCGGGGACGAGAGGGUAAGUAGAUAUUCCCCACUCAUUUUUGAUCAUAUGCAAAUCAGAGUGACAGAUUCCACAGAACAAAACUUUGAACCUAACAUCCUUCUCUCCUGUCUCCCUACACAUCAAUUCGACCAAAACUUAUUUUUCAUUAAUACAAAAAGUAUAUAGGGUCAUUGAUAGAUAUUAAUUCACUUGGUGACUCACACGCGCCUAUGCACAGGCAUAACGUUUUUUAAUAAACCAAAAUGUAAUAAUUUUGGAUAAUUUAUAUUAGUUUUAGUUGUAUUUGUUUGUGUAUUUUCAUGUUAUUUUAACUAAAGUUUUAUUUAUAAAUUAUUUAGUUGCAGUGUUAUGAUUUUUUGUGCAAUAUAUUCAAUUUGGCAAUAAUAUUUAUUUCUAAAAUCUAGUGUAAAAAUUGAUGUUAAAUGUGUUAAUUAUUUUUGAUUAAAAUUUUACCAAUUGUUUCUCGAACUUCAUAACCAAGUCAUUACUUUUGGUUGUUACAAUUAUUCUUCUUCUAUUUUGAUUUUGUUUAUUGUAGGAUUAAUAGAAGUUGAAAGAUAUGCAUUUUUAAAAUUAUCUCAGCAUCAAUCAAAACCAUCGUAAUAGAAACAACUUCUUUAAAAUAUUUUUUUCCAAACACGUCAUAGUGUUUAUUUGAUUUUAGAUGUAUAUAUCUAAAGAAGAAUGAAAUUUUCGGAUGGAAGUCGUAGAAAUCGUUUUCCUACCAAGGAAAGAUAUUUUUUUUAUGCAUAAUUUUUUUUAUGUGAAUAAUGAAUGAUUGACUGAUAUUUUAUAUUGAUGUCGAUAGUUUAAUAGUUUAGAUAUAUGAGAAUCAAUUGCUUAUUUAUUACUCCUUCCGUUUCAUAAAGAAUGUCACUUCAACAUUUUUUACACAGAUUAUGAAAAUGAUUGAAAUGCAUUUAAGUUCUUAUUAAUUACACAUAUUCAACCAAUAGUAUUUGAGAUAAAUACAAUUAUUUAUAAAAUCAAUGCAUUUGUAAUUAAUUUUAAUCUCAAAGUUGCAUUGAAAUUCUAAAAUGACACUCUUUUUGCAACAAGAAAAAAAAUACUAAAGUGACACUUAGUAUGAAACAGAUGGAGUAUUUUUGAAGCAUUUAAAUAGUAUUAGAAUUAAGACUUUAUGAUGUAAAACAAAUUGCAUAAAAUUGUGCUGAUAUUUUUGUAGAAAUAAAAAUAUUGUAUAAUUAUCAAAUGGUAUAUCACAUAGUUUCCUUUUUAUUAAAAAAAAAUAUGUUUGAAACAUAUUAAAAUUUCGCAUUUUAAUAGUAAAAAUAUUCCUUUUUCAUAAAAUAUGGUUUCAUUGAUAAAAACUAAAAUAAAAAAAUGAAAAUAUUUCUAGAUAUUGUCAUUUAUAUGAAAUUUCUUUUCAUUAACAAUUUAGUUAUAAAAGGAAUGUACUACUAAAAAGAACAUAAAAUAAAAUAUUAAUAACAACAGUUAUAAUAAUAAACUCAAUUAGUAAUAAACCAUUAUAAUAUGGUUUUAUUAAUAAAAAAGAAAAUAAACAGAAAUAUUCAUAGAUAUUGCCUUUUAUAUGAAAUUCCUUUUUAUAACAAUUUGGUUAUAAUAGGAAUGUAUUAAUAGAAACAAAAUAAAAAUAAAAUAUUAAUAAUGGCAAUUAUGUAAUAAACUUAAUUCAUUAAUGCUAUCAGUGUAAUAAACCACUGUGAGAGUUAACGUGAGCAUGUCACGUAAGAAAGUGACUUCUCAAAUAAUGUUACGGAGAUUUUUAUGUAAAAAAACCUUCUAGAGAAAUGGAAAGGCGAGAGAACUCCAGAAUUGUCUUUCGCGGCCAAUCCAAAUGCCUCCUUUCCCAUAAUGGAUCAAAGAAGAACAAGAGCUAGAGAAAUGGAUUGGAGAAGUAAGCAAGUGUGUGGUUUCGUUUUUAUGUGAAUGCACUUCUAAAUAAUUGAGAAGUUUAAGUUUAUGAGUAGAGAGACAAGAUCUUUAAUAUAGGAAGGGAUUGUGGCACCGACGGGAACGGGAGCCAUUAGGACCAUUCACACUAUAAGAUUACCUCAAUGACUCGUUCUUUUCUUCCUUGUAUAUUUUCUUGCCUUUUUUAGAGGUGUUAAAUCUUUGACUCUACAAGAUAAGUAUGAAUACAUUAGGUAUUAGUUUGUUUGCUAAGCAUGCGUGAAUAUGAUACAUUCAUAAAUUGGUAUGAAUGCAACAGAACUGCUGUUAGAAUAUGAACCAGAUCUGCUGAAACAUUGAGAAGAAGACACGUCACAAAAUAUUCAAGCUCUUAAAGUUUUGGUAAUAGCCAAAAUGAAAAUGUAUUGGUCGAAACUUAAGCCUUGCUCUGACCAAAUAUGUCGUAUCUUCAACAAAAAAAAAACAAAACAAAUUAUAUAUUAAAUAAAAGCAAAGUUUUCAUAACGAAUAUGUAAAACGUGCUUUUAUAUUCCUUAUAACCAAAAAUUUGUCGUUCUUCAGUUCUAUCUAAUUUUCAUUUUCCGAGCAUAAUUAAAAAUCCAUAUUAAAUGUAUGGAACUCGUUGAACCACAUGCUGUAUGGACCUGGCACACCGACAAGUCUGUACGUGCGGGCCACUGCGAACGUUAGGAAAGCUAUUUUCACAUAUUAUUCGUAUUGAUUAAAUCGAAUAAACGUAAAAAUGACGAAAUUUAAUACUACUUCAAAGUUCAAAGUUAUAUGAUUUUGUCAGUGUAGUCGUGUAUUGUUUGUCUGUUCUUGUGGUCUAUACAUCGCCACUUGCUUUUGCUCCCAAAUAGUGUCGUCUACGCAACAUACUCAUAGCUAAACGCGUUUACACUGUUAAGAUACAUGCACCUGGAUAUUAGACCAAACGAAUAGUUUGAAUUUAGUCCCGAAAUCAUACCUUAUGAAACGUGUUUAUACUAUCAAGAGACAAGAGCAAGUUUUCUAUCAAGAGACUAUGCAUAAAAAUCUUGGUACUUUAUAAUCAAUCAUAUUGUUAUUAUUGGUCGGAUUGCUCAGACAACACAGCUUCUAUCAUUUACACCCAGCAUAUUUCAACCUUAAGAACCUAUACAAGACCAAUUAAUAUGAACAGGAAAACAAACAUUCACUUAUACAUGUAAUAUUUUUAUUUUCCAAUAUUUUUGAGAUUUUACAGUAUCACCAGUCAAAACCUACUAUUUGAAUUAAACUUCCCAAGAUCUUAUUAAUAUAGCAAACAUUACAUUCAAGUUGAUUCAAUUUAUAGGGCACAAUAUUAGUGCUACAGACAAACAACGUAACUUAUUACAACAAACCAAACAAGAAAAAAAAGGCUUCUAGGGAACUUCAAUUCUUAAGAUUUAUAAUUAAGGACUAGGCUUCAAGGUGUUGGCAACAUCAAUCACAAAACGGUAUCUAACGUCAGCCUUCUGGAGCCGUUCCAUGGCAGUGUUGACAUAAUCCGCAGAGAUAAGCUCAAUAUCUGCCGUGAUGUUGUGUUUUCCGGCCAAAUCCAUCAUCUCUUGAGUCUCUUUUAUCCCUCCUACCAUACUUCCCACCACCAUCUUUUUCCCUAUUAUAUAUUCACAACCACAAAUAUAUUCUCAAUGUUUAUCAACUGUACACUUGAAAUGUUAUUAAAUUUGUUAUGAUAAAUUGAUAAUAGUCAUGGAUAUAUAUGUCGUAGAUUUUAUUAAUGAUACAAAAUACCAGGACCGGCCUAGAGAUUUAAAAAGCUAUAUGUAAUUUAGUAGGAGUUUUAUUAAUAAUUUUUUUUUUUUAAAUUUGACACAUAUGUUUAUGUAAAUUAUUUCUUAAAUUUUAGGGAUUAUAAUGUUUAAUCUGUCUAGGGUCAAGAUUUUGAAAUUAAGACAAUCCUUAAAUUUGGCUAAAGACAACAUACUCUAAAAAAAAAGUUAGUAUUUCGUCAUGAAAACCAUAUACAUAUUAUAAACGCAGUUACGAGGAGUCCAACUUUCGUCGUAAACGCCAUGUAAAUUUACGACGAAAUAUGUUCGUCGUAAAAUCCAUGUAAGUUUACGACGAAAUACGUGGAAUGAGAAAUACGUCGCAAUCGUUACAUCGACAUUACAACGAAACAUGUUACUGUUAUAUUUAGGUGAAAACGUGUAUUCAAUGUGCUUUAACUUACCUAAUUUCGUCGUAAAGUCGUCGUAAAUAUUAUGUUAAAACCAUGUAAAAUAUUCCUUGUAAAAUCGUUGUUAUAUUUCAACUCCCACAACUCUCUUCCUCACAACACACAGACAGAAAAAAAAAUCCGAAAAAAAAGAUUUCAAAAAAAAUUCUAAGAAAAAAAUGGCCGGUGACGGUAGUAUUUACGAGUUACGGAGUUGGAUGUAUUUGCACAAAGAUUCUGAAGGAGGCUGAUGAACGCAUUUCUGAGCGGGCUAGAGACAUUCAUGCACCAGGCGGGCUGUACACCGAUCACGCAGGAAAGCGGUAAGAUGUUCUGCCUCGGUCGGAAAUACAAGAAUUCAAAAUUUGCACGUAGUGAAACUGUAUGGAAGCAUUUAGUAAACAGAGGAUUUACACCACAGUACUACAUUUGGUAUCAAUAUGGAGAGGGUUAUGGGGAAAAUGAAGCUAGUAGUAGUAAUAAUAAUUUUGAGGAUGCUCAUCAUAGUGAAGAACCGGGAUCAUUUGCAUAAUGAAUAUAAUUAUCAUCAAGAUCAGGAGCAGAUUGUAGCUGAUGGAACUGGAAAUGUAGAAGAACUUAAUUUGGAUACAAAAAAGUUUUAUGAAAUGCUAGAUGCUGCAAAUCAACCAAUCUACACUGGUUGUAGAGAAGAUCUCUCUAAAUUGUCUCUAGCAGCUAGGAUGAUGAAUAUUAAAACGGAUCAUAAUUUACCUGAGAAUUGCAUGGAUGCAUGGGCGGAGUUGCUUAAAGAGUAUUUGCGAGAAGACAACGUGUCUGCUGAAUCUUAUUAUGAGAUUCAGAAAUUGGUUUAUAGUCUUCGGUUGCCUUCGGAGAUGAUUAAUGUUUGCAUCGACAACUGCAUGAUCUACUGGAAAGAAGAUGACAAGUUAGAAGAGUGUCGACUCUGCAAAAAACCACGAUUCAAACCGCAAGGCUGUGGGAGGAAUAGGGUACCGUACCAAAGGAUGUGGUACCUACCAACUACAGACAGAUUGAAAAGAUUAUAUCAAUCUGAGAGGACUGCUGCGUCGAUGAGGUGGCAUGCGGAACAUGUCCAGAGAGAUGGUGAGGUUGCACAUCCAUCAGACGCAAGAGCGUGGAAACAUUUCAACAAGGUACACGCAGAUUUUGCUACAAAUAUUCAGAAUGUCUAUCUUGGGUUAUGCACCGAUGGAUUUAGUCCAUUUGGAAUGUCUGGUAGACAAUAUUCUUUGUGGCCAGUAAAAAUUACACCUCGUGGACGCAUUGUCGCUGGAGAAGAACCGCCCUUGCAAGAAGAAGACGCUAUCAAUGAAGUUGAGGUACCAGAACAACCAACUGAUGAAAUCCUUUUGAUCGACCCGCAAAACUUUCAAUAUGAAGAUAUUUCCGAAGAUACGACAGAUGAAGCAUGUGAAGACGAGUUCGAGAGAAGCUACGAUGAUGAUUGUAAUGAUAGUGAUGAGAACGAAAACGAUUUAUAGUGAUGUAAUAUUGAUGAGAACGAAAACGAUUUAGAGUGAUGUAAUAUUUGUAACAAAUGUUAUAUUUCUCUAUUGUAACGUAUGUUUAAAGAAAUAUUGUUGUUUUACCAUCUUAAUGUAUGUGUAACAAAUGUUGUUUUAUAUAAUAUGUAUUUCUUUAGUUUUUAAAAAAUUAUUUGGAGUUUCAGGGUUUUAGAGUUUAAGUUGGAGAAAGAGCAAGAAGUAGUAGAGAAAGAUAUGAUGUUAGAUGAUAUGUAACUUUGGGGUUUAGGGAUUUCAUUCUCGGUGUUUAGGGUUAAGCGUUGAAAAAUCGUCGUAAAUGGUUAAAUCUAUUCCACGUAAUUUCGACCUAAAUGAAAAAACGCGGGCCUGGUUACUUCGUCGUAAAUGGAAAAAUGCGGGCCUGGUAACUUCGUCGUAAACGGACGUUUUGAUGUAAUUUUUUCGUAAACCGAAAAACGCGGACCUGGUAACUUCGUCGUAAAUGGAAAAACGCGGGCCUGGUAACUUCGUCGUAAUAUUACGUCGCGUUUAUGACGAAACGUUUUCUAUAUAUUGAGACGCCGAGAACGGGGCUGCCUCGUUCAUUCCUCCCAAACUAUUCCUCCCAAACUCCUCUGCUCUCCCUCUAAGGUACACUCUCUUUCCUUUUUUUUUUAAGUUAGUUUAGGUGAUUAAUUAGUUAGGUAAUUAGUUUAGGUGAUUAGUUAGGUAAUUAGUUUAGGUGAUUAGUUAGAUGACGGAAUACUAUAGUUUAGGUGAUUAGUUAGGUAGCAUAAUAAUUUUUUAAUUAUGUUGUCAUAAUUGAUUAAAUUUAUUUUAAUUUUUUUUAGAUGGCUCCUAGAAGGAAACCAGCAGCACCUACUUAUUCCCAGUUGUUUGGCGAUGGUUCCGGUACAUCUUCUUCUGGUUCAUCGUCUUCCGAUGCAGUUCCAGACUCUCAGACUUCUCAGAGAAUUUUUUCGAGUCAUCCUCUUCCACCGCAGAUGCCUCCACCUCCUCCUCCAGCGGCUGCACCUCAGCCUGUCCCAGAAGGUGCAGUUCAUCCGGAUUUGUGUGUGCCUUCAUAUGCUCCAUUCGCGAGAUAUACGGUGGAGGAUUUGCUUGGCCAGCCUGGACGGGAGGGUUUGGAUGUUCUAGACCCCGAGGAACUUAUUGGUAAGUUAUUACUUUUUAUUACAUUAAAAUUAAAAUUAAAAUUAUUUUCUAACUGUUAAAUUGUUUUUUUUCAGGUUUGGGGCUAACGACCGUGUUAGCCGGAGCGUUUCGGCGACGAUUAAGGGUUACUACGACGGGGCAUAUGCGAACUGGAGCAAGACACCAAAUCACGUUAAGAUCACGUGGUUUAAAUGUUUUGCGGUAAGAUUUUUAAAUUUAAUUAAAUUUUCACUUUUAAAUAUAUAUAUAUAUAUAUAUUUUUUUUUUUAAUAUUUAUUAUUAAUUUUAAUUUUUUCAAAAUUUUUGUGUUUCAGCAAAAGUGGCAUUGGUCUUUGGGAAUCACCGAGAGGGUGAAGGCGGAAUUCGUUGCAAAGACAAAGAUCCGCCUCUGCAACACAGUCUCCGAUUGGAAGGACAGGUGGGAGAUCUACGGGUAUGAGAGAAAGCCCACUGAGCUCAUGACGGAUGUGUGGGAUGGCCUCAUCGCCUAUUGGGAGCACCCCUCUUCGAUCAAAAAGGACAAUUUGUGCUCGGCUUCUCGAAGGACGAAGGAUAAAGAUGGUCAUUUGCCCAUGCUUCACAGAACCGGACAAAAACCUCAUGCAGGAGUCCGUCUAGAAGCUGUAAGUUUUGUUUUAAAUAUAUAUUUUAAAAUAUUCAAUCAAUAUAAUUUUUAAUAUUUAAUUUAAUUUUUUUUUUGUAGUUUGAGAAGACGGGAGUCUUACCAUCUCUGUCUGACCUAUUCAAGAUGACUCACGCCACAUCCGACGGAGUUUUUGUGGAUCCUGCAUCUGAGAAACUCUUCUAAGCAGUGGCUGGUCAGAUUGAAGAACGGGAGACGCAACUAACCCAGGAGUCUCCCGAUGGAUUACCAGUCACAUUGUCCACCGAAGAGGCCGACAGAAUCUUUGAAGAGGUACAACUUAAAAUUUUUGUUUACAUUAUUUUAAAUAUUUUAACAUAAUUAACUAUAUUAAUAUAUGUUUUGAUUUCAUAGGUGUCUCCUAAAAAUAAGGGACGGAUAGUCGGUAUAGGCUCUGUUAACGAAAUUGCAAGGGAAACUUCGUCAUACACUUCAAGAUGGGAUGAAGACAUUGCUCAGAUGAAGGCUCGAAUGGAUAGCCAGUAGGUUCGUUUAGACUCUCUUGAGGAUUUGCUAGACGUGAUGGUCGUGGAAAACCCGGUUAUGCAGAGAAUGUUGAGUGAGAGACGAGCCGCUCUUGGGUUGCCAGUACGAGAUCCCCAAGAGUCCGAUCCAACCCGUCAACAGCCGAGCAACCCCACCAACUACUUCGAGGAAAUGUAGUUUUUUUAUAUUUCUGUUUGUAUUAUGAAUUUAAAUAUUAUUGUAUGACUUUUAAAUGCCUUUUUAAAAUAUGUUUUUCAAUUUCAUAUUUCGUUUUAAAAUUUAAAUUAUUUUAAAUUCUGAAUAUUAAAUAUAAAUUAAAAUUUAUUAUAUACUAAUUAAUGAUAAUAUAAUAAGAAUCGAUGUAAACUCCUCGUAAACAUUACAUGGAGUUUACAUCGAAUGUUUACGAGUGAUUAACAUCGAAAGAUUUACGAGGGUUUUACAUCGAAAUGUUUACGAGUGAUUUACAACGAAAGUAUUUACGUAUGCUUUACAUCGAAAUCAUUACGUGGGCUUUACCACGAAAUCUUACGUGUCGUUUACGACGAAUUCUUUCCCUGCGCUUUACGAGGAAUAUAUUUCGUCGUAAACGUAACGAGUCGUUUACGACGAAACCUCCGUUACGACGGACGUUUAACAACGAAACCUCUUUCGAGGUUAAUUCGUCGUAACACCCCGUUUACGACGAAUUUACAACGAAUACUGCCCUAGUAAAAAAUAUGUUUUCUUGUAGUGAUAAUCUCUAUCUUUAAUAUAUUUAACAGGUAUUGAUUAUAAUAUCAGAAAUUCAAAUUUGUCAAAAAUAUAUCUGAAAUUCACGAUAUAUGGGAUCCGGACAGUUUUUGCUUAACUUAAAUAUUUGAAUUCAAACUCAAAGUGUUAAAAUAUCCAAAUUCUUUGAAUUGAAUCUCAGAUGGAAUCUUUUCAUAAAUAAUUCAAUCUUUGAUUUUGAGUAUCUCUUACAAAACUUUAGUAUAUUUAACGGUUAUGAAUUGUAAGAUUAGAAUUUACCAUGUCUGGAGACUGAGAUACUGAUCCGUAAUCUUAAAUAUUAUUAUUUGAAUCUGAAUCAAAAUUUUAGGGUUUCUAAAUUUUUUUAUUUGGAUUUGAUCAGAUGGAAUGUUUUCAUAUUAAAUUCCAUUCUUGAUUUUUUUUUUUUUUUUUUUUCCAUUCUUGAUAUGAUUUUGAGUAUCUUUUGAGUAUCCAAAUGUUGUCUUACCCGGGGACAAGGGGGUAACUAGUAAACCCCCACUCGUUUAUGGCCAUGCUUAAAUCUGUGUGGCAAAUUCCACAGAACAACACUUUGAACCUCACAUCAUUUUCUCCUGUCUCCCUAUACAUUAAUCCCACGAAAUUAAGUUUCAUUCAAAGAAAACAUAUAAUAUGAAACAUAAUUCCUAGAGAUCAAUUCGUUAAAAGGAAACUGGAACCUUCUUGAGAAAUGGAAAGGCGAGAUAACUCCAGAUUCGUCUUUUACAGCCAGUCCGUACGCCUCCUUCUUAAGGACCUCUCCCAUUAUGGAUAAGCAAUAAGAGAAUAAGGCUGAGAAUUAUUCUUUGAGUGAUGAUAUUAAUAAUUGAGAAAUGUAGGGAUAGUGAAGAGGAGUGACACGGUUUAAUAUAGGAGAGGCUUGUUGAACCGAUAUGAGUACUAUUACUCAUCACUCGCUUGGACCAUUUUCAUUACGUUUAUUUGAUGUUUCUGAACUUAUCUUACCAUAUAUACACUAGAAACCAAUGAACUUUCGGACUAUAUAGUAGGUUGAGGAGUGAGUAGUGAGUACUAUUACUCAUUACUCUCUUGGACCAUUUUCAUAACGUAUAUUUGAUGUUUUGUAAUUGUUUUACCAUAUGAACUUUUUUUUGAACUAUAAACCAAUGAGCUUUCAGACUAUAUACUAGGUGAAACCAAUGAACUUACAGACUAUAUAGUAGGUGUGAUCUCACGCGAACAAAAUAUUCUUACGAGAAUUAAUUAUUAUUUUUUUUUAUAAAUCAUAUCGGCUGAUCUAGUCGGUCUUGGGAAGAACGCAUUUAGUACUACAGAUUGGAUUGACUACUACCACACUUUCUGACCCAAGUUUGGAAUAUCUUCCGAUUAAUGACAGAGGUGAACCGAUUAUCUGUUAUGAUCCAACAUAUAAACCAAUUGGACCGAAUCUCAAGUCAAGACUGGCCAAAUGAUGAUAAUUUAGUUUGUAGGAAGAAUCGAACCAAAAACUGAUGUGGAUACGUAUCAAUCCCCAAAAAAAUUACCACUAAACUACUACCGUUUGUUUUUUUCCUACAAACUAGGGGUUUCUCCUCCUCUCUUUCUUUGUCUUUUUGGACCUAUAAUCAAAUGAACUUUCAAUGAAAAAAAAAAAAAAAAAGACUACUACCGCUUGGUUAGAAUUUUACUUCCAAUUUCAUAGUGAAUUACGUUCAUUAUAAAUAAGUUAUACUUUGAGAUUUGAAGAUUUGUUGUGGAUUCAAAAACAUAGUCAUAAGUCUGAUAACUCAUAAUUCUCGGUAACGCUGCAGAUUUGCUUCCCGGACUUCAAAAUAACCUAUGUGCCACGAGUGCGCAAUCUGUUUGCUGAUUUUUUGGCUAAGACAGCUAGGACCUUUCGUAGAGAGUUACUUUUCAUUGGUUGUUCUAUUCCGGUCUGGUUACCCAGACCACCUCAAGCUUGAGUAAUAGAAUGGCCGUUCGACGUCAAAAAAAAAAAAACUCAUAAUUCUCGGUAAACAAAACAAAACUGAAUGUAUGAUACUGAUGUCUUCUUCCUUCGUUUUCGUAGCGUUUUUUUUUUCGUUUUCGUAAUUAUUAUUGCUAGUUUCUUUUAAAAUUUUAUUUUUCUCUCUGCUAUUGAAUGAUAUAAAUUAAAACAGUAUCAUCUAUUUUAAAUAAAAUAUUGAAAAUAGUACUGCAAAAAUCUAUGAUCAAAUUUAACUAUUUUACAAUACCGUGAUUAAAAUAUCUUCAUCGAUUACAGUUACAAAUUAUAAACAUUAAAUUCCAAAAUUAAAAAUAAAUUAUUUAUGUUCAAAUCAUGUUCUGAAAUACUAAUUUACAGUUUUUCAAAUGGAUCCACACCUUCUGAAUAUUUGAAACUAAAUUCAUUGUUAACUGUAAACCCAACUAGUUUUACCAAAAAAACUAUAGGUGUGUUGGAUUUUAAAUUAUGAAACUCGACUUCAUAUUUUUCAGAAUAAGCCAAAAUAAAUAAAUUGGAUAUUGAAAUAAUUGAAGUCUAACGCAUUUAACUAAUUGAAAUAAUACGUUUGCCUACUUAACGUUUGUGUGGAGGGAAUUAUAUCCAGAGCAAAAUCUAAUCCACACGUGGGAAAUGAUCAACCACACUUUUUUUUGAUAAAAAAAAGUUAAAUCCAAAUGGACCGGAAAUUAUCAACCACGUACUUGCAAACCCAGGUUUCAUUUCACUCCGACAAGUCAUUUUGUGUAUAUUCAAAAUAUGAAUAAUGCAAAAACUACAGAAAAGAAAUAUCACAUGGGUAAUACAAACGAACAAAGAAAUAUCACAUGGAGUUUUUUUUUUUCUUAUCUCAAUUCACAAAUAAUAUCUCUUUCGAUAAUUUAAAAUAGUUUUUUUUUCAUUGAUAUGUCUUUUUUUUUUUGCUAUGUCCUUCCAUGUUUUUCAUAUGAAUUUAAUUCAACAAAGAGUUAAAACAAAACAAGAAGGAAAGAAAAACGAACAUAACGAGAACAUCGAUGUGAAACCCAUUAUUUCAAUAUUUUGUGACGUCUCAACAAGAAGUCUUUGUAUAUUUUUCAUUUUAGUUCUAAGAUGUAGUAGCAACCAAUGUGUUCGCAAUGUGACCAAUGUCGAUGACAAACGAUAUUUGUUGUCUCCUUUUGCAAGUCGAUCCAUGAUGGUGCUCACAUACUCCAUGGAUAUGAUUCCAAUGGCUGCUUUUAUACCAUGUUCAGCUGCAAAAUCACCGCUUGCUGCGAUCGAAUAGAUAGGCUUCAAACUUCGCUAUUGGGCUUUAACAUGUUAGUUUUUCAAAAACAUUUGUGUUCUUUUUUUUUUGGUAACAAAACAUUUGUCUUUUCUUAUAAUGUAUUUUCUUCGAACAUAUUUAAUAAAAUAGAAUAUUAUAAAUAUACUAAAAAUAUCAUGAUGGUGAGCGUUGUACUAUUUUAUCUAUCUAUUCUAUUAAAAGAGAAUCAUUCUGAAAAAAUCUACUUAUACAGGGUUACUGCACUUUUUCAUUUAAGUAACAAUUAUUUGGUCUUACCAUCUGUUAGCCCAAUAACAAAAUAUAACCGUAUGUUUAGCUAACUAUAUUUAUUACGCCUUAUCUAAACCAGUAAUAUAACAACUUUAUAUUUGACAGACCAAAACAUGUUCUACACGAUAAUAUAGAACACAAUACAUGUUAUACACAAGACACUAUACACUAUAUAGUUUAUUCAUUGAGUCAUGCUCAUGUUGAUGACAGUUAUCUGUACAAUAAUCAUAUCACAUGUAUUCCUCUCUUAGACCCAAACGCCAAAUGUCAAUACUCUCAUUCAAUUGAAAGACCAGAUCAUACCCUAACCUCGAUGAAACAACACAUUCAUUCUCAAUCUGCCAAAAUGAUUCAGAGCAUAACCUUACAUAUACUGUAUCAUUUUGAAUAAAACUUAUCUGGUAAAAUGCGGUAUCAUUUUGAAUCAAUCUAAUAUGGCAAAGUAUUAGUGCUUAUAUCAAGUCUCUUCUUUGAGAGAGUUCUUAGUUCGUUCUUAAUCUGAGAAGUUCGUUCUUUAUUAAUUAAUUUUUAUCUAUCAAAGUAUCUGUUUUUAAGAAAUCAGAUCAAGUUUAUAAUAACCACGUUAUCCUAACUAUAUAUUGCUAUAAUAUUUUCAAAUUUAGUAUUAACGACCAUAAGUUAUUAAUUUGCUAGCAUAAAUUUCUCUAACCUACUUUAACUGAAUAGAUUUUCGAAACAAUAUGUUCGAUACGAUUUUAAAUACAUAAAAACCGAAAUAUUAGAAUACUUGAUCUACAAGUUUCGUAUUAACUACAAUACAUGAUAAUUUUCCGUGCAAAAAAAUUAUGUUACCUACUUUAACUGGAUAAACAUUAUCGUGUAGAAUUUAUAUUCCAAUAAUAUUCCUUACUCCUCCAACUAAAAAAUCGUAUCAGAUCUUCUUAAUAUUCAACCCUAAAUAUGCGUAUCUUGUGCUAAGAACUGACCCAAACCCGAAAAAUUUACGAAUACCUAUUAGAUCCAAAUUUCUAGGAUCCGAAGGACCCAGACCCAAAAAAAAUUGGACCAAACCCAACCCAAAGACCCAAACGUCCAGGCCUAAGUGUAUGAAUGAGCAUUCUGGUACCCAUUUGGGUACGAGUCAGUUCUUUAGGGUAUUAGAGUUUUUGAGUUCUUGGGUAGGGUUCGAGUCGGUCCUCCCAGAUACGGAUAUGUUCGGUUCUAAUGUAUAUGAACCUAAAAAUAACCAAAUAACCAAUGUAUCUGAAACAUGUUUGUCAUGUUUGUAAUACCUGAACCGACCUAAUUUUAAAAUAUAACUAAUAUAUAUUUACAUUUGGAUAUCUUAGAAUAUACUCAUUCAGUUUUCGGUUUAGGUCGGGUAAUUUUUUUUUUAAUCCGAAUUCUUCGAGUCCUCGACAUUUGGAUCCAAUUAGGUAUUUGAAAUAUUUUUGGUUAUGGUUCAGUUUGAUUCCUUUUGGAAUCGAGUCAGUACGAGUCCAUAAUUCAAAUAACCCUAAAAUACAUGUAAUUUGGGUACAUAAUAGUCUAGCUCAGUUUGGAUAUUUAUGAGCGAAAAAAAAAUUGAAUGUACCCGACCGAAAGACGAAAAAUACCUAAAAUACUAAUUCAUAUCCAACUUUAUUUAUAACCCAAACAAAACCUGCGCUUUUGAAGCGCGGAUCAAAAUCUAGUUACUAAUUAAAGAAUACAUGUAUAUAUGUUGUCAUUUUAUUUUGUUUAAGAAACAUUAUAUAUAAUAACUUGAUGAAAACAAAAUGAAGAAUAAAAUUUUCGUUAACUUUGAAAGAAUGUAAUAGUCAAAAUCUUUAUUUCACUGGUUACAAAAAUUAUUGAUUAUUUAUAACAAAUCUUCCUAUUAAAAAAAUAAACACUCACGUUUUUAUUAAAAAGAUAAAAAUAAAACUCUCCCAUCACUCACUUAUCUAUUAUUAAGAGAUUAUAUGGCUCCUGAAGGACCUUCCAAUCGAAGAUAAUCAUACAUGACACCUGUAAAAAUACUAGUGACCCGGUUUUGAGUGAGAAAAAUCGUAUUGUCACCAACCUUAAGCAACUUUCUCUGAACGUCUAUAUUGAACAAUCUGUAUAACCCAUGAAUUCCAUGUCUAGCGAUCGCGUUAUCCCGACCUACUAACCCAGUCCUAAACAUAGGUUUGGAGCUAGGUUCGUUGACCCGAACUAAUAUAUCGGCAGUGUUGGCUGCAGCCAAAGCCAUUCGAAGAGUAUAAUUUCCAGUUUGGGACACUUGUUUUAAGUUAAAAACAAUUUUCCAUGUCGUUGCUUGAAGUUUCUUUUCUCCAGCUCUCCUGUUUCACAGAAUAUAUUUUCGAAUCAAUAUAUUAAGUGAAAAUAAAACAUUUUGAAAUUUAAAUAUAGCUUACCUGUUGAGAUGUGCAAAGAACCAAUCUUUUUUAUAGUCACUCACUCCAACAGUAAAAGUAACAUCUUCUCGAGGAUACAAUACUUUGUAACGAUCCCAUAGACCAUAUUGUCUAAAUCUGUAACGUUACAUAGAUAAAACACCUUUUAGUAUAUAUUUGAAAACAAUACUGCGAAUCGUUUCUGACCGGGUGCUUAAUUUACAUUACCUGUCUUCAGGAGCAUUUGGGUGAUUUGCAUAUAGUUUGGUCACAAGGGCUGGGUCCGGAUCUGGGAUAUUGAAUUCUAAGGCGGUCCGAUCCGGUACACCGAUCUCCCACAGCGUCGGACCACUUCUUGGCGGCUCAUACACUAAGGAUCCUACGUUUAUUGCCUUACCUACACGUAAUGAACAAAUGAAUUAUCUCUAGUCGGAUCUAUAGGGGCCUAUACUUACACACAUGAGUCACAUGAAAGAAGUUACAUUUGUACGCAAAUAAAUUAAACAUACCUGGUGUAAUUAUAAUUUCACGCUCGUAUUUAUAGUCGCCAAUAUGUCCGGCAGCCCAUGCGAAGAGGUUAUAUGUCCCAGGUCUCACAUUCGCUAUUGUGAACAUCCCCAUUUUGUCUGCUUUUGUCCAAAAUUGAUAUCCCUUUGUCCAAAAUUAAUAUUUAUAACUAUUAAAAACGCUGUGAAUUCACAAUGGUGGUGUUACACCAAAGCUCUGCAUAUUAAAAAAAAUGAAAAAUAGAAAAAGGAGAGAGCAUAAACUGUCUAGACUCGUAACAAAUUAUAGAUCUUCAUGCUUAUUUGUCAUGAUGUGAUUGGUAUCAAUUUUCUUUAUUUAAAAUUUUUAUCUAUUCUAUUAAAACAUGAACAUGACCUAUUGAUAUAGGUGUGGUCCAACUAUUUUAAUACAAUUAUUAAAAUUUCUUAUUAAUCAUUUAAGAAAAAUAUUAUACAAAGAAAAAUAUACAUAUGACUAAAAUAUAAAUAUAAAAAUUAAAUUUCUAAAAAAAUGUAAAACAAAAAAUAUGCCCGCCCUUUUUAAGGGUGAAUCAGAUCUAGUUUAUGCAACUAAAACAUAAUAAUUAAAAAAAAUCUAUUUAAACAAGGUUGUUGAAUCUAUUCAUUAGCUAAUUAUUUCUUGAUCUUAAUUACCUAAUAUUUUCUUAACAAUACAAAGUAACAUAAGAUGCAUAUCAAAUUUUGUGGUUUAGUCAAUCCCCUUGUUACGACAUCAUUCGCUUAUAAUAAUAACAUAUAACAGUAUUUUAUUUACUAGGUUUUAUAUUUGUGUAGUUUGAUAGUUAAUAUACAUAUAAAUAAAUGUGACAAGAAUCUUUCUAAUAACAAUAUAUUUACCUCAUUUCCUAUUUUUAUACUAUUAAACCCACAAAUUUUAUCUUCAAAUAUAUUUUGAAAAAAUUCCAAAACGCAAAUGCUAUAUCAAAACCAUAUAAAUUAAUAGUUUUUAUACUUUUAUAUAUUAAAAAUAUAUGUCUACUGAAUCAAAAAAUAAUCCGAAUUGCGGAUCAAAAUCUAGAAUUCUUGGAAGAGUUCUACCGAUAACAAUACUCUAAUAUCAUAUAGUCAAGUCCAUGUAUUAAAUCGUUAUACAACAAGUUAUGUGGCAAGAAAUUAAUAAAUAUCUUUUAGUCAUCGAAAUUUUUCAUAUCAAAACUUAGACUACUGCCUAUAACAUAUAGUCGGCAUGCCAAUACUUAUUAUAACUAAACAUAAAAAUGUAAUACCUUGUCCCUCGGUAUAGCCCGAACGUUUUUUAAAAAACGCAUCGAUCGAUGCGUUUUUGAACAAAAACGCAUCGAUCGAUCAAGUGAAAAAUAUAAUUAAUUUCCUCGGAAUGUAAAAAAUAUUAAUUUUUUUAAAAAGAUAAAAUUUCUGAAAUUUAAAUUCGAAAAUAUGAAAUUAAAAGUAAAAUUGAAAUCAUAUUAAUUAAUAUUUAAAGUUUCACAAAUAAAAAUAAAACAUUCCGAGUUUGUGGAAAAAAAAAAACUACGGGUCUGGCACGUCCGGGAACACCUCGUUCGGGUACAUCCUCUGCAUCAUCUCCAUCAUUUGCUGGUUCAGCCUCCUCUGUGCCUCAUAGCCCGCCUGUUGAGCCGCCAUCUGGGUCUCUAACAAAGAUAUACGAUCAUCUUUGUCCUUCAACUGGGCCGUAAGUACUUCUGGAUCAACGAAGGGCGGUGGUGCAGAAGAAGGGGGAACCGACCGGGUGCGACGACCCAAACCGACCAAACGUCCCUUCUUCUUUGGAACCGACUGAAUAGAAAAAAGCCAAAUUUAGAAAUUUAAACCAAGAAAUAAAUGAAUUGAACUUUUAAAAACAAAGAACUUACGGAUUCAACGAUUUCGUUGAUUCGAAAUCGGGACAAGUUGGUCGAAGCCGUCGAAGCGUCAUCCUCAGUUUGAAGCUGAGACACUUCGUCUACCACCUGAGUUUGGACCAGGUCGACCACGUCCCUCACAAGACCGUCAUCAAUCUGGCCGGUCUUCUUGUUGGUAUACGCCCUCCUCAUUAGGGCGAGAUCAUCAACCGGCUCGCCAUCAUUUUCUUCCGCCUUGAAAAAAAACAUAAAUUAAAGAAACAUUAGAAAUUAGAAGAAAUGCACAAUAAAUUUAAAUUUUGAAACUCAAAUAAUUGAAGAAAAAACGGUUGAACUUACCAUGCGAUCUCCGAGAGUGGCAAUAGAUUGAGCACCCAAGUUAUGCUUGUAGAUGCCCUUCCCUUAACGGUCGCUCUUGCGGUUGGUGGAGUUGGUGGAAGAAGUUUCUUUCGUCUCUUCCUUAUCCCAAUGCGCACACAACUCCUUCCAGACCGUGUCGUUCAUCGACUUUGGGACCUUUUAAUAAAAAAAAAAGAAAAAUUUAAUAAAUUAAAAAAUAGUUUAAUAAAUUAAAAAAAUGGUUUAAUAAAUUAAAUCGAACCUUAUUUAUUUCCCACUUCUUCUUCCACUCGUUGAUCUGCUUCCCAUAGUUGUCCAUUACUUUAUGGACGAAGUGGUGAUAGAUAAAGAGCGUCUCAUAGGAAUUCCAGUUGAACUCUUGCUGAAAAAAACACAAUUAGUAGAAAAUUUAUAUUAAAGAUUAAAAAUAUAAGUAAAAAAUUAGAAUACUUACCGCAAACUGACGAAACCACAGAACCUGCUUGUCGGUUGGGAAGUGAGUGAAAGUCGGAUGUCCACUGUCGAGGGCCGAGUACAUCAUACGGUUGAUCCAUGCGCUGAUCCCGUUCCCGGAUCGGUUGAACCUUAGUAAAAGAACAAACGGUUAAUAAUGAAUCCAAAUUUAAAGAAAAAAAAAUGUUUAAUUACCAUGUUUGACCCCGUCCAUGUGGAUACGGAGUGAGAUACGGAAGAUGGUCACGACCGGGCUGUUAAACCAACUCCGCAACACGCAUCACUCCCGGAGGACCCGGAUGAACAGGAGCGGAUGCAGCAGCGGGAGCGAGAGGAGCAGGAGCGGGUGCAGCAGAGGGAGAUGUAUGGUUGGAGCUGUGGAGCGAAGGGGAAUCUUGAAAAUGGCUGGAAUCCCGAGACUGGCUCCCCGUACUACCACGACCACGACGCUGUCGAGGCCGGGUCUGAUCAUCAUGAGACCUGUAAAUUUAAAAAAUAUAUUUAAUAAAUACAUAAAUAUAUAAAUUAAUUUUUUUUUAAAAAAAAAUUCCCAAAUAAUUUAAUCACAAAAAAAGAUUUAUAUAUAUUUAAAAUUUUUAAUAAAUAUAUAAAAAUANNNNNNNNNNNNNNNNNNNNNNNNNNNNNNNNNNNNNNNNNNNNNNNNNNNNNNNNNNNNNNNNNNNNNNNNNNNNNNNNNNNNNNNNNNNNNNNNNNNNNNNNNNNNNNNNNNNNNNNNNNNNNNNNNNNNNNNNNNNNNNNNNNNNNNNNNNNNNNNNNNNNNNNNNNNNNNNNNNNNNNNNNNNNNNNNNNNNNNNNNNNNNNNNNNNNNNNNNNNNNNNNNNNNNNNNNNNNNNNNNNNNNNNNNNNNNNNNNNNNNNNNNNNNNNNNNNNNNNNNNNNNNNNNNNNNNNNNNNNNNNNNNNNNNNNNNNNNNNNNNNNNNNNNNNNNNNNNNNNNNNNNNNNNNNNNNNNNNNNNNNNNNNNNNNNNNNNNNNNNNNNNNNNNNNNNNNNNNNNNNNNNNNNNNNNNNNNNNNNNNNNNNNNNNNNNNNNNNNNNNNNNNNNNNNNNNNNNNNNNNNNNNNNNNNNNNNNNNNNNNNNNNNNNNNNNNNNNNNNNNNNNNNNNNNNNNNNNNNNNNNNNNNNNNNNNNNNNNNNNNNNNNNNNNNNNNNNNNNNNNNNNNNNNNNNNNNNNNNNNNNNNNNNNNNNNNNNNNNNNNNNNNNNNNNNNNNNNNNNNNNNNNNNNNNNNNNNNNNNNNNNNNNNNNNNNNNNNNNNNNNNNNNNNNNNNNNNNNNNNNNNNNNNNNNNNNNNNNNNNNNNNNNNNNNNNNNNNNNNNNNNNNNNNNNNNNNNNNNNNNNNNNNNNNNNNNNNNNNNNNNNNNNNNNNNNNNNNNNNNNNNNNNNNNNNNNNNNNNNNNNNNNNNNNNNNNNNNNNNNNNNNNNNNNNNNNNNNNNNNNNNNNNNNNNNNNNNNNNNNNNNNNNNNNNNNNNNNNNNNNNNNNNNNNNNNNNNNNNNNNNNNNNNNNNNNNNNNNNNNNNNNNAAAAAAUAGUUUUAAUAAUAUAUAUAUAUUAAAAAUAUUUUUAAAUCCCAAAUAAUAGUUUUUAAUCACAAAAAAAGUUUUAUAGAUAUUUAAAAUGUUUUGUAAAAUCCAAAAAAUUGAAUUUAUAUAGAAAUUGUUUUUUUGUAAAGUCCAAAAAAUCGAAUUUAUAUAGAAAAAUCGUUUUUUAAAAUACAAAAAUCAAUUUUAUAUACAAAAAUCGAUUUUAUAAAUAGAAAAAAAAAAUUAUACAAAAAUUCUAAAUCAAUUCAACAAAACAAAUCAUUCAACUAAAUCACAAUUCUAAACCUAUUAUAAAAAGAAUUCACAAUCCUAACCAAUCACCUUAACAAAAAUCUAUCAAAACUACACAAAAACCUAACAAAUAGAACCUAAGAGAGUGGGAUAGGGUCCUUACAUGAUUUGUGUAAGAAAAGGGGGAGAUCGCCGGAGAUAUCAUCGGAUUUCAGGGGGAAAUCGCCGGAGAAAAAAGAGAGGAGUCGCGCAGAGGAAAAAGAAAGAAAUGGGGAAGAAGAAGUGGCUCGUGGUUAUAAAACCUAGGGUCCGACGGAUAUUAUCCGUCGGAAUUCCGUCGGAAUUCUAAUUUCAAUUUUCGCGAAAUAUUUGCCCGGUAAAAUGAAAAUAUUCCGAGGAAAUUCCGACGGAUAGUAAAAUAUCCGUCGGAAUUUCCUCGGAAUAUUCCGAGGAAAUACCGAGGAACUAGUGUUUGGGGUUUCAAAACAUCAAUUUUUUUUGCCGUAUUUCAUUUCUUAUACAAUUGUAAUGCAUACCAUUGAGGAUUCUUUGUAUAGAUGAGCAUAAACCAUGAAAUAAAAAAUUUCAAAACUAAUUGAAAGUAUUCCCUUUACCGUUCAUUAAAAGGUAUAAGUGUUUGUCUUAUGUUGCGAGAUUUCGUUCAUACAAUCGGAAAAGUGUUAAUUAUACGGUAAGGAACAAAUUUUUGUCUUCAUAAUGAACGUAAGACACUUAAUAAGGGUUAUAUAUGUGUUAUUCAAACGGCAAAACGUUGUUUUCAGUUUAAAAACCCUAUUUCCUCGGAAUUUCCUCGGAUUAUUCCGAGGGAACUCCGAGGAAACCCUCUUCUUCCUCGGAAUAUCCUCGGAAUAUUCCGAGGAAAUUCCGAGGAACUAGUGUUUGGGGUUUCAAAACGUAAUUUUUUUUAAAUAAACGCAUCGAUCGAUGCGUUUUUGAACAAAAACAAAUCGAUCGAUUACAAAGAUGGACCGGGCCGUAAGAUUGUGAUCGAUCGAUGAGAGUAUCCCAUCGAUCGAUCGAGAAUCUCAAUUGUUCCUCGGAAUGUCCUCGGAAAAUCUUGUAUGUUUUUUUAAAAACGCAUCGAUCGAUGCGUUUUUGAAGAAAAACAAAUCGAUCGAUUACAAAGAUGGACCGGGCCGUAAGAUUGUGAUCGAUCGAUGAGAGUAUCCCAUCGAUCGAUCGAGAAUCUCAAUUGUUCCUCGGAAUGUCCUCGGAAAAUCUUAUAUGUUUUUUUAAAAACGCAUCGAUCGAUGCGUUUCUGAACAAAAACAAAUCGAUCGAUUACAAAGAUGGACCGGGCCGUAAGAUUGUGAUCGAUCGAUGAGAGUAUCCCAUCGAUCGAUCGAGAAUCUCAAUUUUUCCUCGGAAUGUCCUCGGAAAAUCUUGUAUGUUUUUUUAAAAACGCAUCGAUCGAUGCGUUUCUGAACAAAAACAAAUCGAUCGUUUACAAAGAUGGACCGGGCCGUAAGAUUGUGAUUGAUCGAUGCGUUAUAGAACAAAAACGCAUCGAUCGAUGUGUGUUCGGAAAACAGAAUUAUAAGGCAAAACCCGACCUUUUCUGGAUCUAAACCUUAGAACUCUCAUCCCCUUCGAUUUCCCCUAUAAUUCGCCCCCCUUUCUCUCUCUAUAAUCAUCCGAUUUGAACAAUUUUGGGCUCCAUUCCACUUGAUUUUUCGAGCUCUACCUGAUUCCUACACUCGUCUUCACCCUAAGACAGGUAUACUCCGCGAAUCUCCACAUUCUGAAAUCCUGUUCUUGAGCAAUUUUUUGGGUUUUGUGAAUUUCUUAUUUCCGUGUUGAUUCCUUGAUCAAAUAUGCAUGAAACAGAUGUUUAAACAUGGAAUAGAACACAAUUGUCUGUGAUAUGCUGCCCGUUCGCCUCUAUCAUCAUGCCGAGCAGGUCUUCUGUUUUUGGUCUGAACUUCUGCUGGAAAGUAGUACUCGGCAAAGUUUGAAGUUUCUUCAUUGAUCAUCUGUGCGACUAUAGAACCUUCCACCCUACUUAAAUUUUUCACCAUCUUCUUCAAAUGGAACAUAUACCGCUCAUACAGAUACAUCCAUCUAUACUGCACAGGACCACCAAGUUCCAAUUCUCUUGCCAGGUGAAUAACAAGAUGCUCCAUAACAUCAAAAAAUGAGGGAGGAAAUAUCUUCUCAAGGUUGCACUGAAUCACGGCUAUGUUAGUCUUCAAAUUUUCAAUACCUUCAAGAGUCACUGAUCUCGUGCAUAAAUCGCGGAAGAAACCACUUAUCCCUGCAAUUGCUUCAUGAACAUUUCGUGGUAAUAGUUCCUUGAAGGCGAACGGAAGGAGGCGCUGCAUCAUUACAUGGCAAUCGUGGCUUUUCAAGCCAGUAAACUUUCCUUCCUUUCUGUCGAUACAGUUACGCAAAUUUGAUGCGUAACCGUCUGGAAAUUCCACAUCGUUUGAAAUCCAAUCAAAUAACGCAUCUUUUCCCGCUGCAUCAAGUCGGUAUAUGGGAAAAGGAGCCCUACCAUUUUCAUCAACAUGAAGUUCUGAACGAGCACAUAUAUCGACUAAAUCCAGUCUUGACUUCAAAUUAUCCUUUGUUUUACCUUGAACAUUAAGGAUCGUGUUCAUGAGAUUGUCAAAAAAGUUCUUCUCAAUAUGCAUGACAUCUAAAUUAUGCCUUAGCAGAUGAUCCUCCCAGUAUGGCAGAUCCCAGAAAAUACUUUUUUUGUGCCAGUUAUGUAGUUCUCCAACAGCAUCUACCGGAAAACGCUCAUGUCCACCGACUUCUGGCGUCCUUUCUGCACCAAAAUCUCUUAGUUGUAUCUUCAAAUCUUUCCCACAAAUUUCCGGAGGUGGACUGUCAAACACCCUCUUGUUCUUCGUAAACAAAUUCCUACUCCUACGAUAUGGAUGAUCAGGUGGUAGGAAUCUCCUGUGACAGUCAAACCAACACGUUUUCCUUCCGUGUUUUAGUUGGAAAGCAUCAGUGUUAUCUUGACAAUAUGGACAUGAUAGCCUUCCAUGCGUUGUCCAUCCAGACAACAUACCAUAUGCUGGAAAAUCACUUAUUGUCCACAUUAGUACUGCCCGCAUUUGAAAGUUUUCUUUACACGAAACAUCGUAUGUUUCAGCACCUUGAGCCCAUAGUUGUUGCAACUCAUAUAUUAGUGGCUGAAGAAACACAUCAAGUGAUCUCUUAGGAUGCUCUGGUCCGGGAACGAGAAUCGAGAGAAACAAAAACUCUCGUCGCAAGCACAAGUUUGGGGGGAGGUUGUAUGGUGUAAGAAUGACGGGCCAUAGAGAAUAUUGUCUUCCACUCUUGCCAAACGGACUAAAACCAUCAGUACAUAAUCCAAGGUAGACAUUUCUUCUCUCAUACGCAAAGUCGGGAUACUAUGAUUGGAAAUGCUUCCACGCUUUUGCAUCUGAAGGAUGUCUGAUCUCACCAUCUGUUGAGUGCUCCGCAUGCCAUCUCAUUGGUUGCGCUGUGCGUUCAGACAUAUACAACCUCUGCAACCUUUCCGUCAAAGGUAAAUACCACAUCCUUUUAUAUGGCACUGGAACUCUUCCACUCAUAUCUUUAUAACGAGGCUUUCCACAAAAUUUGCAUGUAACCCGCUGUUCAUCCGCCCUCCAAUAAAUCAUGCAGUUGUCGCUGCAUACAUCUAUUACCCGAUACGAUAAACCAAGACCAGCUACGAGUUUCUGAACCUCGUAGUAUGAACCAGGAGCUACAUUAUCCUCGGGUAGAAUACCUUUUACAAAAUCAGCAAUCGCAUCCACACAGUCUUCAGCCAAAUUAUAAUCUGUUUUAAUGCCCAUCAAUCUUGUAGCAGAUGAUAAAGCUGAAUGACCAUCUCUGCAACCUUCGUACAAUGGUUGCUUUCCAGCAUCCAACAUAUCAUAAAAUCUCCUAGCUUCUGCAUUGGGUAAAUCUUCCCCUCUAAAAUGAUCAUUUACCAUCUGCUCAGUACCUACACCAUAAUCUACAUCCGUUCUAAUUGGUUCUUCUAAUCUAACCGCUGGCUGAGGUUCGCUAGUACUACCAUGUUCAUAAUCAGUUUCCCCAUGAUGAUACCAAAUUUUGUAACUUCGUGUAAACCCACUCAAAUAUAGAUGAGUCCAAACAUCCCACUCUUUAAUAACCUUUCUAUUUUUACAAUUAGAGCAAGGACAUCUUAACUUACCUGUUUUUGCUUCCGGUUGUCGGUGAACUAACCCCAUGAAUUCGGUUAUACCUCGUUGGUAUUCUUCCGUAAGCAAUCUCGUGUUCGGAUCCAAAUGAGGUCGAUCGAUCCAAGAACGGAAAUAAUUUGAAGAAGACAUAUUUUUUAUGAAUCAAAUUCGUGUGUAAAUAGAGUAAGAGGGAGGAUGAAGAUAUGGAGUGAAUGAAGAGGAAGAGGAGUGCUUGUUUAUAUAGAUUAAAUCCUGCCGACAUACCGAGGAAAUUCCGACGGAAUUCCGACGGAAAAGGCUAGUUCGUCGGAAUUUCCUCGGAAUUUUGUAAAAUCCCCCAACGGCUCUCCAACGGCUAUAAUAUUUCCUCGGAAUUCAUCGGUUUUUUCCGAGGAACACAUUGUUCCUCGGAAUUUCUUCGGAAUAUUCCGACGGACUGAGGUUUCCUCGGAAUUCCGUCGGUAUAUUCCGAGGAAAUUCCGAGGAAUCCCAAUUUUGUGUUUUCCUCGGUAUAUUCCGAGGAUUUCAUUUUCCGUCGGAAUGUCCGUCAGAAUACCGCUGUUUUCUUGUAGUGUCUUUGAGUGAUGAUAUUAAUAAUUGAGAAAUGUAGGGAUAGUGAAGAGGAGUGACACGGUUUAAUAUAGGAGAGGCUUGUUGAACCGAUAUGAGUACUAUUACUCAUCACUCGCUUGGACCAUUUUCAUUACGUUUAUUUGAUGUUUCUGAACUUAUCUUACCAUAUAUACACUAGAAACCAAUGAACUUUCGGACUAUAUAGUAGGUUGAGGAGUGAGUAGUGAGUACUAUUACUCAUUACUCUCUUGGACCAUUUUCAUAACGUAUAUUUGAUGUUUUGUAAUUGUUUUACCAUAUGAACUUUUUUUUGAACUAUAAACCAAUGAGCUUUCAGACUAUAUACUAGGUGAAACCAAUGAACUUACAGACUAUAUAGUAGGUGUGAUCUCACGCGAACAAAAUAUUCUUACGAGAAUUUAUUAUUUUUUUUUUUAUAAAUCCUAUCGGCUGAUCUAGUCGGUCUUGGGAAGAACGCAUUUAGUACUACAGAUUGGACUGACUACUACCACACUGUCUGACCCAAGUUUAGAAUAUCUUCCGACUGAUAGGGGUGAACCGAUUAUCUGUUACGAUCCACCAUAUAAACCACUUGGACCGAAGCCCAAGCCAAGACUGGCCAAAUGACGAUAAUUUAGUCCCUAGGAAAAAUCGAACCCAAAACUGAUUUGGAUACAUACCAAACCCCCAAAAAUUACCACUAGACUACCACCACUUGGUUAGAAUUUUACUUCUAAUAUCAUAGUGAAUUACGUUCAUUAUAAAUAAGUUAUACUUUGAGAUUUGAAGAUUUGUUGUGGAUUCAAAAACAUAGUCAUAAGUCUGAUAACUCAUAAUUCUCGGUAAACAAAACAAAACUGAAUGUAUGAUACUGAUGUCUUCUUCCUUCGUUUUCGUAGCGUUUUUUUCCGUUUUCGUAAUUAUUAUUGCUAGUUUAUUUUUUGGUAAAAAUGUUAAAAUUUUAUAUCAUUUUCAGUUUUUACAUAAUUUACAAAGAAACACUAGUAACAGAGAAAGGAAAAAAAAAAUCUAAACAACACAGGGAAGAAGAAGAAAAGACAACAUCAAGAGACCUAAAGAGCAAUCAAACAAUCUUAAGUCAUAGAAGCAUUGCAGAAGCUAGAGGUUGACCAAAUGAAUGCAUUGCCAAAUGGAGAUGAUACCUUUGAUGAAAUAUGAGACCACGCUGCAGUAGAAAUUGGCUUGCCUGCUAACGCUGCUCCAAAUGAUUGAUGCCAUCUCCGGACAGCUUUGCAAAUCUCAGUCGAAGAAACUCAAUCCUCCAACCACCACCAGCAGUAGGAAAUUGAGCUUCAAGAACUCCUACCACUACUCUUACCAAAAAGCUCUAGCUGCGCCCACUGGGAAGUUCCACCUAAAUCUCCAAAAGUUAUCAUUAUUCGGUUCGGCUUCAGAACUAAUGCGAACCAUAGCAAAAACUGGGUGCAGUGAGAGCCACAUUCUGAUGUUGUUCUUCCAAACCUACAAUUAGACUAUGGAUAAGCCCACCAUUGUGAACCAAAAGAUUCAACACUGGUGCUGGGAUGACAUAUCCAAACAUGAGGCUCCCUCGACGAACUGUCCCUCCCAUGACCCACAAGAGGUUAAGAAACGCCGCCUCACGCUAAGCCCGAGAACCGGACCUAGUUCCAAGAGCAACGCCAAAGCUACGCCAACGUGGGAGAGCCGGUGAGCAACUCCGACGAACCGGAAAGGAAGACCCUCCAAAAAUAAACAACUGAUGCAAAACGAACACCAAAAGCGGCGAAGACCGAGAGUGACAAGUUGGAGCAACCGCCGGAGGAGACCAAGAACAGGUCAUAGACGGCCCGCCUCAACUCCGAGAAUGGCAGCGGUACACGAACAACACAGCAGCAGUAGCUACUACACAGCAGCCAACAAAACCACGAGCUCGUCUCCGGAGAAUCUCCGAAGCCCCACAGAACCGGAGAAGGUAGGAAGGUCUCACCUACUUGACCUGAGAAAACGAAACCACCUACGCCGGAAACCUCCUCACCAACCUGAAGCAAGACACCAAGCCACCGAAUCUAGAGAGAGGAGACACCCACACACGACCACGCGCUCCCACCGCCACAGAGGAAACAGAUCUAGAAAUUGAAAACCUAGAUCUACUCCACUCCGCAACCCAAAAGCCGACUUUAUCGCCAGUACACCCAAGAACCAACCUCGUCUCGACACCACCACUCCGCGCCAAGCGAUACUUGAAGGUCACUCACCGAGGUAGAGAUUCCUCCGUUUCAGCUCAGCUUCAUCACAACAGGGUCGGAAACAUAUCAGCAGGGAAUGAUGGACCAGUGAGGAAGCAAGAGAUAGAAAGGGAAAAAGAAAACAAGACGCCUCCGGCGGCGGAGAACCACCGGAGCAACCGGAGGAAAGAUGAGCUUUUUCUUUUUCUUUUUGAGAGAGAAAGAGGAAUUUUUUUUUCUCAAAGUUUUGUUUCUUAUUAUUGCUAGUUUCUUAUUAUUGGUUAUUUCUUUUAAAAUUUUAAUUUUCUUUUAAAAUUUUAUUUUUCUCUCUGCUAUUAAAUGAUAUAAAUUAAAACAGUAUCAUCUAUUUUAAAUAAAAUAUUGAAAAUAGUACUGCAAAAAUCUAUGAUCAAAUUUAACUAUUUUACAAUACCGUGAUUAAAAUAUCUUCAUCGAUAAUUACAGUUGCAAAUUAUAAACAUUAAAUUCCAAAAGUAAAAAUAAAGGAUUUAUGUUCAAAUCAUGUUCUGAAAUACUAAUUUACAAUUUUUCAAAUGGAUCACCUUCUGAAUAUUUGAAACUAAAUUCAUUGUUAACUGUAAACCCAAACGCCAAACUAUAGGUGUUUUAGUUUUACCAAAAAAACUAUAGGUGUGUUGGAUUUUAAAUUAUGAAACUCGACUUCAUAUUUUUCCAAAUAAGCCAAAAUAAAUAAAUUGGAUAUUGAAAUAAUUGAAGCCUAUCUCAUUUAACUAAUUGAAAUAAUACAUUUGCCUACUUAAAGUUUGUGCGGAGGGAAUUAUAUUCAGAGCAAAAUCUAAUCCACACGUGGGAAAUGAUCAACUACACUUUUUUUUGAUAAAAAAAAAUUAGAUCGGAAUCUAUUAAAUAUACAUAUCUAAUUUUUAGGUGGGAGGUGCAAUUUACGGACAGACCUUCUCACGGAUAUUUAAAUGGGCCGAAAAUUAUAAAACUGAAGUAUUUCAUUGGUAAAACCAUGUUGUUGUUUUUUUUUAACAAAAUCGCCUAGGAAUCUAUAUAUAAUAGCAAACCUAAUUUUGUUUUCAGCAUUUUUUAAUAGGAAAAAAAAGAAGUUUGAUCUAAGGUUUGAGUUUAUCACUACUUUUAAUCUAACGGACACGAUUUAUUUUAAUCACAAAAUCUUACGUCAUGUAAUUGUUUCCACAGAUUGAUGCACCUCUUCUCUGAUCGACGCACCUUUUUACGGUGACCUCUUUUGAUACGGGAACGACGCACCUUUUAAACUGAUUAUUAGAUUGAAGUACUGGUUAGAGUCGCUAUUUUUUUUCUGAGAACGCUUCUCAAUCGAAGUCCCAAGGAAAAGCUUUGGUUCCUCAUCAUGCUCUGCUCUAACCGGCCAACUCGAUGGCUACAAUUGAUUUCUAAUAUAUCUCGCCGCGAAUCUAAACCGCCACCACCGUCUUCAUUGAUGAUGAGACUGACGUUAUAAAGUUGAUGAGAGAGAAGAGCAAGAAGUAGAAGAAGAAAGUUGUUGCGGUGACAACGCUGCCAUGGAUGGAAUUGAAAGGCUCAAUUUCAAGAAAAUAAGAUACGGAGGAUAGAUCAUGUCAUCUGAUGUUGAGGCUCAACUACGACGCCAAUUUGGAAGCUUCGUCUGUUACAUCUUGUGCUGUUUCUUGGGUCGGAAGCAACCGGGGCAGACGUCAAGUGUAUGUCUUUCUCUAAUCACAUUUCUCUCUAGCCAUUGAAAAUCUGUUUUUUGUUUUCUAAAUUAGUUUUAUAUUAAUUUCCCGUAAUUGAUACUACAUUAGAAAUUCUGUUAUAAGUACUAGGUGUAGAGAUAUGUUUGAUUUAACAAAAGUUUCCGAACGUAUAGAUGAGAUGUUUUUAGAUGUCAGUGAAUAUAAUAUAUUGCAUAGAUGGUAGAUGUAUACACAGGAGAAGACGGUUAACUGGUUCAAAUUAAUUAUCCAUUCCUUAUUUACAUAUCGUUCUUUUUAAUCUCUUGCAUGUUCUUAACUUCAGUUACAUGUUAUUUGUCUGAUUAGGCUGGUUCCAUAUCGAUGGCAAGAGAAUCAAGAUAUCUAAUGAAUAUUUAUACGCUGCAGUCUGAGUAGGCUUGUGAAUGUGAAUGUGAUUGUAUUGCAGAUCCAGCAUCACCCCUGGGACACUACUGAUCAUCCUUGCUGGUAGGUUCAAGGGCAAGAGAGUUAAUUUUUUUUAACCAACUACCCUCUGUUUUUCUUUUUGUGACCGGUGAGUUUUUAUAAUUCUGCCACGUUCUAUUAUCCAUCUUAAGCAUUCACUACUUGUGUCACCUGAUAUGUUCCUAUUUUGUAAUUGGUCCUUCAAGAUCAAUGAUUGCCACGUCCUGAAAGUCUCUGAUGUUAGCCUCGAUAAAUAUGAUGAUCAUUAUUUUGGAAAGGUAGGCGAGAGGAAGAACAAGAAGGGAGAAGGAGAGUCUCUGAUGGAGCCGUGGAUCUAUAUAUCUGAAUUAUAAACACCUAAAGGCAAAAUUCAAAAAGUGUACUAUUUAUAGUACUCAAGUUUAUUGUUUUCUGCUAGGCUUCAAUCUCAAGCUCUCCCUUGUACUUAUUCACUUCUUUCCUCUUCCUCUGCGUGUUGCCUUUCUCUCGUGUCCUUACUUAUACACUCCAAUGUAUCAGAGUCUUCGAGGCAGAGAGAGAGAGAGGUAAUAAUCUUCUUUGGGAAAUAUAUCAACUGUUUUGAUGAAAGACAUAAUACAACUCCUCUCUUCAUUCUCAGAAAGUGCCUACACAUAGGGAAAACGACGACCAGAUGGCUGUGGACGGAGCUUUGAUCAAAGCCAUCGAGGUAGUUUCAGAGUUGAAUACUUGCCUUUGCACAGUUUUCAUUGCACAAGGAAUGGAGCCACAUAAGCUUGUUUUCUAGAUUUUAAAACCUUUUAUGAGCAUCUUAGGUAUAUGUGCCCUCAUGCGUUACUCUUUUUUUGUUCUUGUCCACAUACCAAAGAUAUUUUGACUUUUUUUUUUUUUUUUGGUAUAAAUGUUAAAUUUUAUUACCAAUUUUUGAUUUUGACAGAAUUACAAGAGUUACAAGAAACAAAAUGCAGAAAUGAAACUAAACACAAACUAAUCUAAGACUCAAUCUAAUCUAAGCAAGGCCUACUACAAGCAAAUCAACAACCUAGUGGACACAACAAAGUUGGAACAACCACUUGCCACAAAAGAGAAACUGCAUUAAGCACGAGAGCUGAGCCCGGUAGAAAUUGGCAGUACCCGAUGAAAAACUCUAAGGAUCAACUCCUCAAGAAUAGCUUGUGAGAGACCUCUCAAUCAGCAGCACAAGGAGAGAACACCCGAGCAAGCACUCGCUCAGACAUGACGAGCAUUUAUUUGGAGGAAAAGACCAUAAGUCGAGGUCCCUCACCGAACAAGAAACACGGGUUGAGAAGAGGCUGAUUCGCCUAGAAGCGAUACGGUACCUGCAACCAAGAAGAACGGAGAUCCUCCUAUCAAACACUGCUGAAACAGCAAGCUUCGAUACUGGGAUGGAGGAGAUCCAAAGACGCCGCCACAGAAUGAAAUUGAGCUUUUCUGACCACAAAAACUUGACAGACAUCCACACCAUUCUCCUUUUAGAACAAUAGGAAGAUUCUUCUAGGACUGAGAGAGAGAAACUCGGUGACAGAACGAGCUCUACAAAAACCAGUGAGAACGGGUAACCAAAACCCAACAACCAGAGAGGCCAACUCUAUUGUGGGCUCACCGCCAGACAAACCAGCAAGCCGGAACAAACAAAGACCGAAGAAGAUAAUACCAAACUGACGAUGCCAAAGCAACUACUACUCCACGCGCCUCCGAACCGGAUACCUACACGCGCCGCCGAGAUACAUCUCCUGACACCACCAAGAAACUCAACACGACGCACGCCUUGAUGUUGUGAAACACUGAAGUUCAGCUUGAGAAAGAGGGAAGGCAGCUCCUUGUCGAGACACCAAGACAAAGGAGCGGACACCUACCACCUACACUCCACACCGACAAAGACCCAAACAUAUAGAUCUAAGUUGGGAGAGUUCGAUCCGUAACUCACGCGCCUACACCUCCGGUCAAAAGACAGAUCGAGAAAAGAGAUCUGAAAACUCUCAAUCCGCUUGAAGACCACCCUAAACGCCGACCUCUAACGCAUCCAUGUCUUCCUCGCCUCACCGCAACUCCAGCAAACCACCGUCAAUAGCAUCCUUCGCCGGUGCCCCGGAUCUGGAGAACGAAAUCGAGUGGUCUGACCAGAGCGUUGAUAUAUUGGAGAGAAAUCGACAGAGUGAUAGAGGCAAAGAAAAAAUAGAGAAGGAGGAAGAGCCCUUCCGACGGCGAACCGCCCAAGCCGGUAGAGAAGCGAUUGGAUCUGGAUGUAGAAAGGAUAUAGAGAGAGAAAAAAAAAAGAGAAAGGUUUUUUUCACAACCAUGUUCCCCAUGAGAUAUUUUGACUUGGUACAUUAUAUAUAUCACAUUUGGUAUAAACAAUCUAUCUUAUUUAAUUUGAACUUUGAAGCAAUAUUUUUUAAUAGAUAAUAAUAUUGUUAUGCUGAAAACUCAGCAAAUCUUCAAGUUAACUGGGAUGAGAGCACAAAUAAAUGAAAUAGCUUUUUCCACAAAUAUUUUGUUGUAAUUAGAUAAGAUUGAUACUGAUGUGGACACAUAUCGACAGAGACGUCAGACAAAUUGGGCUAACUACCCGAACUUUACCAUUAUGUUUUUUUAUCUGUAGCUCGGAAUUUCAGAUAAGCUUAUAACCUGAAAGAAAUAUAGUUACUAAUAGAUUCGGAACGUCGUGCGUGAGUGAGUUCUACUCUCUCCUACUCCAAUUUUCCUUUGUACUUUUACCAUUCGAAUGAUAAAGCUGACUUACACGAUGGGAAAAACAUUUGUGUCACAUGUAAGUUGUAUUCUAAGUUCACCUUUGAUUUGAGUUUGCAAUUGGAAUAUAUUCAAAUAUUCUCUGCAUCACAACCCAUUAGCCAUCAACAGACAACCGCGAACAAAAAUGAGAACAAAAGAUUUGAAGUAAUCUCUAUUUUAUAUAACGAUUAACGAUGUCUCAUUUGCUUCUGAAAUGACAUUCUUUUGGUGUCAACGUGUCAUUUGCAUCUUUUAAUAAAUCUGUAUAUGAAAGUUUCAAAUUUUGUUAUCGCUUCAUAAUUCUAUUGAUAUCAUCAAGAGAUAAAUCUCUUUUCAAAUGGUUAGGGAUGCGUAGGAGGAGAUGGAGUGAAUCUGUGGCCAGCGAGUAAUCUGUUAACAUGCUUUCCCUUAUAUUUGUUCUCAACUAGUAUAUUACUAGGAUAAUAUAUGCGCCUUGCGCAUCGUGAGUUUAUUCGUAUAUAUUAUCGACAAUUUUUUUUUUAUAUAUUUGAUCAUUUUAUUUAUACAUAUAUAAUAAUUUUUGUUUUUAUUAUAUAAUUUCUUUCCGAUGGACCGGAUCAAUUUUUAUUAAAAAUUAUGGAACUAAACGAUAAAUUAAUAAAUCAUGGGUUGAUCGAAUUGGACAUUAAACAAAUUAUAACACAAAAACCUUAUUUUUUUUCCACCUAACACAUUUAUGAAAAAGUGAAAAGUAUUGUUUCCACAGUUGAAUUAUCUUGACCUUUAUCUUCCAUAAGGUUUUGAAAGGUUUCAGAUCAACCAUCGAAUUGAUACAUGUCAUUUUAAUGGUUUUAGUCGUAUGCUUAAGGAUAACUUACAUUUUUGUAAUUUAAAGUCGUUUCAAAAAUUUAAAAUAUAAAAUAUAAGAAAAAAUAUAACAUAUAAUUAAAAUAUAACAUAUAAGGUUUCUUCAUUUUUGUAUUUUAAAGUCGUUUUAAAAAAAAUUAAUAUAUAACAUAUAAGGUUUCCUCACUUUUUUAAUUUAAAGUAAUUUUUAAAAAUUCAAAAUAUAACAUAUAAGAAAAAAAUCUAAUUUUAUUAUUAUAUGGUUAAUGUGAUUGUUUAAUGUUUUUUAAUAAUAUAAAAUUAAAAAAAUGAAGAAAAAUGCAAAAAGUUGUUAUCAAAUCUUUAUUAUUCAUUGUCAUUAAUUGUCAUAUAUAUGUUAAACAUAUUAGGUAAUUCCGUGGCUUUUAUUUAAGAAAAAAUACACGCUUCUUAUAUUUUGGGUUAAUAUAAUGUUCCCUAAUAAUUGGAUUUGAACAAACAUUUUUUCAGUUGAUUUUUAAGCUGACACGUAAGCUAAAUUGACAUCCUAAUUAAGUGACACUUAAGCAUGGUCUCUUUUUAAUUAGUAUAAAAUUAAGGUUACAACUUUUUAAAUGAUCCUCAAUUAAUAUAUAAGGGAUUUAUAGAUCCCGACUUCUUUCGUCUUUGGAAUCGUUAUUUUUUAGAAGUUUUUAAACUGCAGUUAGUUACAAUAUUUUUCAACUCAAAUCUUAUUGUGCAUUUUCUUAUACAUUGGUUAUAACUCCUAAAUUAUUUUUCUACUUGAAUCAAAAUUAAUGUCAAUAGUUCUUCUUUUAUUUGAAUGAAUGUAAAUUUAUUUAGUCAAAACCUAUAUUACAUUAAGUGCAGCUGUUUUUUCUAAGUUUACAGAAUCAAAGAAUGAGUUCUAAAAACCGAAAAAUAAUGAUCCUUCAAGUUGGAGAUGAGCCCUGUCUUGUUCGAAACCAAGUAACCAAACUCUCCUCUAGGAACUUUUGACCCCUCCCUUGAAAUGAUAAAAGCUUGAGUCUAAUGGUUUUGUCCACAAAUUUGAUCAGACAGAUCACAUCCCUUGCCUGCUCACCAUGCUGACGUGAGUUUCUCUCCCUCCAUACCAUAUGAACUACUGCUUGAAAUGUGUAUCGCACAAGAAAAUCCUUGGUAGGAGUAAGUCUUGGAUUGGAAAAAAAUAUCAAUUAUAUCACUCCAUAUGGUUGUGAAGGUAUCUUAAAACAGCCUCCCAACAAGAGGCUUCCAAAUCUAAUCUGACUACCGACAACGAAAGAAUAGAUGGUGACAGGUCUCUUGAGAAUCGUUACACGGCACACAUAUCGUGUUUAUUGCAGAGUUCCAUAGCAGCAUUCUAUCACACGUUUGCAAUCUUUGACGCAUGGCUAUCUAAACAAGAAAAUCUUCUUUUUCGGUUACAUGUUUGUAUCUUUUUCCAAAUUCUAUGAUCCUCUCUUCUCUCUUUUCAAACUUGUAUGCAUAAGUAAUUAUAAAUGAGGCAGAAUUGUUCAAGAAAUGGCCAAUUAAGUUUGAAAUAGGAACUCUCUUUAAACUGAAUUCUAAGGGAGACAAACGCUAGGAGAAAUGUAUUAAGUGGUUAAAACAGAUAAUUAUGAAUUUAUGAUGAUAGAUGUUCCCAGAAACAUAUGAGUUUAGCUUUACGAACUUUCUAUAUACAAAUAAUUAUUAGUCUUAUUGAGAUAUGGUAAUUUGGUGUUUCAAUUAGCACAGUGGACAUAUAUCAUAUUUAUAUGAAUAAUCUAAUGGUUUUGAAGUUUAAUAUUUCUAUAUAAAUACUUUAAUAUGCUGUUUUUCAGUGGAAUCCACGUAAUGUCAUGUGGAUGAUGUCUGUUACAUUCUUUUUGUACCAAUUUCUGAUUUUCAAAAAGUUUAUCCAGAUCGUUAGGAAGUUGUAAAUGAAUGAUUGUUAGGUGAGACAAAACAAUUACAAAAGAGUAUGGUCCAAAGCAGCCUCAACAACAUCCUCAAGUGCAUCACUUAUCUGUUUGCAUCUGAGAGGGUUAGUUUGGACUCGAAAAAAGAAGUGGAGAGACCUCAGAGGUAAGUUUCUUUGGAGAACAUGGUAUUCCUAAUGUUAUAUAUAAGUAAUUACAAGAACAAACAUAAUCUGAAAAUUACAACUUGUAGAACAUAUUAUCCCAAAUUCAAAUUUCAGAAUACCCUUAAAACAAAAUUUUGAUAAACAACUUAACUGUAUUACAUCUAAAUAAUUUGAAAAGUUUUGAUAUAAUAUAAUUUUUUUUGUCUUAUCAUAUAAAGAAAUUUUGUGUAUCCUAAUACUUGACAAAGAUCGAAAUUCAUUGAUUUAUUUUCUUUCAUUUCAAUGUAUUUUAAAAUUUAGUGUUAUUUAAACUAUCAGCAUUUUUGUUAAAUGUUUCAAGAUUCAACAAUCUUUAUACAUCUUGACUGAACAGUUUUAUUUUACAAAAUUGACCUGUAUUUAAAAUAAAAAAAUAAGACAAAAUUAUUCUUUUUAUAUUUUGUACGUGUAUAAUAUACUCCUUUUUUUUUAAUAUUUGAAGGUUUGGAAAAAAAUUGUUUCAAAUUAGAUGAUGUUUUCAAUUUCUAAUGAAAAAACUAUUAUUUUUUUUAUGUUAGGCUUUAUGUAUUUUGCAGUUGGUUUUUCUAUUGGUCAGAUUAUGGUUAAGUAGAACUAUUAUUAAUAUUUUUGUGUAAAAAAUUUACAUAUUAAAUAUUUUUAGACGUUAUAUACCAUCCUAAAACAUCAUCUAAUAAAAACGAAAAGAAUAAUUAGCAAAACAUGUGUGUGAUAAAAAAAUAAAUUUAAUAAAUAUGUAAACUAAAUGAAAAAUUAUUAUGUUAAGAUAAAUUAAUUGUUAAAUAGAUUUUUUUUAUUAAUAUCCAAUCAUUUAAAUUUGACCGUAAAUAAUUUAAUUGAUUCGCGCGGAUUUGUUUUCUAGUAUUAAAUAAAAGCAAAGUAGUUUCAUAACGAAUAUGUAAAACGUGCUUUUAUAAUCCUUGUAACCAAAAAAUUGUCGUUCUUCAGUUCUAUCUAAUUUUCAUUUUCCGAGCAUAAUUAAAAAUCCAUAUUAAAUGUAUGGAACUCGUUGAACCACAUGCUGUAUGGACCUGGCACACCGACAAGUCUGUACGUGCGGGCCACUGCGAACGUUAGGAAAGCUAUUUUCACAUAUUAUUCGUAUUGAUUAAAUCGAAUAAACGUAAAAAUGACGAAAUUUAAUACUACUUCAAAGUUCAAAGUUAUAUGAUUUUGUCAGUGUAGUCGUGUAUUUUUUGUCUGUUCUUGUGGUCUAUACAUCGCCACUUGCUUUUGCUCCCAAAUAGUGUCGUCUACGCAACAUACUCAUAACUAAACGCGUUUACACUGUUAAGAUACAUGCACCUGGAUACGAGACCAAACGAAUAGUUUGAAUUUAGUCCCGAAAUCAUACCUUAUGAAACGUGUUUAUACUAUCAAGAGACAAGAGCAAGUUUUCUAUCAAGAGACUAUGCAUAAAAAUCUUGGUACUUUAUAAUCAAUCAUAUCGUUAUUAUUGGUCGGAUUGCUCAGACAACACAGCUUCUAUCAUUUACACCCAGCAUAUUUCACCUUCAAAACCUAUACAAGACCAAUUUAAUAUGAACAGGAAAACAAACAUUCACUUAUACAUGUAAUAUUUGUUGUAAAUAAAGUGUUGGGAAAUACUUCUUUUAUUAUUACUGUCGACCAGAAGGUCCAUAUAUAUACAAGGUAUUAGACCGUCAUAAGGUCAUGUUUAUCCUAACAAGAUAAGGAUAAGGAUAAACACUAUGUUACAGAUAUACAUGGAAUAUAUACUAGAUAAACACAUAGUCUCUGGUUGUCUUUAUCAUGUCCCGAAUUGGGCCUGCAGUACGGGCUGGUCCAUGGUCGAUCAUCAUUUGGUUUAUAACACUCCCCCUUGAUCGACACAUCCGGCACAGGUUCAUUGCAUGCUUAAUGUUGCCUCAUUAAAACAUCUCCUGAAAAACCCCAAAACCAAUGUAAAUGGGAAACCAAGGAUAGGAAAAAGAGUACAACACAUGAAUUCCCCCAGAUGAAUGCAUCACUGUAGUAGACGCAUUCCCAUCUGGUAUCCGAGUCUUCUUGAACGUUGAAGUUGCCUAUGACUUGGUGAAGAUGAUCAGCUGGAUUCUCCUUGAAUGAACUUGUAAGUCUUGGAUGAACUGAUGGUGCUUCAAACGGUGCUCGGAUGGACUUUAUAAUCUGCAAUAAAACUUUACUUGCAGGUCCUUUUUCAUGUCCCACGGAUUCUCUUUGGUUAUAUGGCUUUCCCAAAACGUGGACAUUCAAUAUAUAUUGAGUCAUAGACCCAGAACACAUACGAACAACUUUACUUCAUAUCUUUCGUUCAUUCGGACUUAUAUCUCUUCGUAUGUGCUAAUGGCUUUAUCCAUUGUAACCAAUCAUUCUUUAUUUUCUUUUGUUGAUCCAUGUUGAGCUAUAGACCUUGUCUAUAUUCGUUCGUAAUCAUGAGUGUCUAAGGUCAUACCAUAAAUAAUUAUUUGCUGCAAUGAAACUCAUCACACAAUGAAUUCGCAGUCAUACACUCAUGUCCUUUGUACAUGGUUAUCGAUCUUUUCUUGCUUUAGCAAUGCUUAUAAUCAUUAAGCCACGACCAGACAUCCUUCUGGUCACUAUCCUGGUUUAUGGUUCUCACUUAGGCGUGCUGACACACACACACACGGCUAUGAUUUUUCUACAUACAUUCCAUAUGUAAAACAUAGACUAUUUAAUCAAUCGAUAACUUGUAUCAUUGAACCUUUGAACCAUUAAACAUUUUUCUCUCAGUUGGUCUUUAUUAUGAUCACAAGGAAUUAUAAUAUUUUCUGUAUGGACUGACUGUACUAAGUAAAUACUUAGUCUUUCAUAUUACUUACAGCUGCUGUAUAUUACAAUCCAUAAACAACUUAGGAACAAAGCUUGUUCUAUGAGAAUUUCUUUCUCAUAUUUCUAUGGUACGUUGAUACCUUUAUACAGUGAUCCAUUUGCUGCUUACUACACCAUUAUUUCUUUAGUAAAUAUCCAGACAAAAUUAAACUUGAUUUUCUGUAGUAGCAUCCACCAUAUAGGAGCAUAUCUCUUUAUAAAUUGUUUCUUGGUCCUUGUGAGUAUCCUUGUGUAAUCAAGCUAUACUUGAAUGUUAUUUAGAAGGAACAUGGACACACUAUACCAUGUGGUCAUGUCCUUUAAUCUCACGAAAUUUCUUAUCUCACAAGAUCCAUUCACUGGUUUCUUUCUUAGAUGGCUUUUCUGUAUGUACAUGGUUACUACGCCCAUCUGUCUUAUAAUUACUUUGAAUUCUUUGAACAUCCCACGUCCCUAUAUAGGUUUUAUGAGUACUCUAUGUGGGUUCAUGAUCCUCAGGUUAUAUCAUUCAAAUCUCAAGUACUACAAUCUUUUAUGAGCUCUUAUGUAUGUAAAUACAUCUUUGGUGUUAACACUCUUUAUCUUUAGUUUCAUACUGUUCCAGACAUGAUCUAAUUAGAUUUUGAGAUCUUAUUACCCAAGACCUUUAUACCUUGCAGUUUGGCAUCCCAAACUACAUGGUCUGGUACCUUAGAUGUGUGGUUGCGCAACCUUAUUUCUCUGUCUGAACUGGUUUCUCUUAUGAACUCAAAUUUGUACGAUUCUGAGCACCUUUCAUUACUUUUCGAGGUUCCUUAUUAUUUGGAACUUAUUUGUCUAUCUCUAAUAGACAUUGUAGCAACUUGAUUGUGUCUCUUAGACAUCAAAUUCGUGGUGCUUAAGCUGGUAUGACAUAGUCAUUUUUUCUUUUCGGGUCAGUGUGUCUGACAUAUAUUUCUGCUAGCUUUUAUAUCUUUUGAUCAUAUUCUUUUAGAACGUCUAGAUCAUAAUCUUUGGUCUGAGGAUCUUGCCAAGACAACUAUGGUUGAUACCAUUAUAUUUCUCUUUUACUCUUUACUCUUUAUCAGCCUGAUAACUUUCUCCUUUUAAAGUUGGAUAAUCAGAUUACUAUCUUUUGUAAUCUGUGUUCUUGGCCACUUGAUUAAAUCAUCCAUGUUUGGCACAAGAUACAUUAUAGUUUCGUGGAGGAAGUCUUAUUUAUCUAAUAUAUAUUCCCAAUCCUCAUCUGAGGUUCCAUCUUAAAUGGCACACAUAUAUGUGGUGGAAUAUUCGUAUUUUCUUAAGAUAGUUUGUGUAUAUAUCUGGUUUAUGACCCUUAAUCAUUCAGAGGUGGGAAUGUCUAUGCUUACAUGUAUGGCCUGAUGUAAAUCAAUAUUUAUAUACAUAAUGUCCUUAAGCUUUAGGCUGUACGUGGGUGAUGUACCAUUAGUGAGAGCUUUAAAGCUUUUCAGCCGUGUAUAUUAUGGUUGUCAACCAUGGAAUCCGAAUUUAUGAUAUGAUCAUGGACUGUGGGUUUUAGUCCUCUCUCCCCCUCAUGAACAUACUCAUAAUUUCGUAGUGCUUAGGACAGUGGAGCCUUAGUUAUUUUAGUGAUUUUCCCUUUUGUGUACUUAUAACACAUUGUGAGAUUUUAUGAGAUCACUUUUGUGCCUUAAUUAAUUUUUCAUUAUGUUUUGGAUCAAGAUGGCUAAUCUGGUCAUGCAAUAAGUGUUUAUUUCGUGGUGAACCAUACUGGUUACCAUGGCUUUAUGCCUCUUUCAUACUGAUCCUUAGCAUAGAAUAAAUCAGUAGAAAAUAUGAGUAUAGGCAUUCAUAAUGCUUUUAGGCGAUUUUUCAAAAAUCUGAAAGGAAUUGUAUUUUCUUUGCUCAAUGGUUCAAUGUAGAAAACAUUGAAAUUUUUUUUUCUUUAUAACUCAAUGGGUCUGAAUAAUGUCGUGUCUUUUACCAUUAUCAGUACCAAUUAAUUGAUUUCAAGUGAUUGUAGGAAGGUAAAGUUGAACCUAUACAAUCAAGAUGAAGUUAAAUCUAUGCGAGAAAUCAAUCUAUCAGUGAACUGACUCAUUAGUCUACACCCAACAACUGAUUUUAUAUGAUUGCGGGAAGGUAAAGUUAAACCUAUACAAUCAAGGUAAAGUUAAACCAUGCAUGAAAUCAACUAUCAGUGGACUGAUUAUCCUUUUAUUAAGGUUUUAUUUGUUAUUUAAUCAGGAAUCAUCAAGCAAUUUAUUAUAUACUUUUCGAUUUAAAAAUAAAUAUAUUUUCUCAGAUAUAUCUCUCAUAUUUCGAUUUUAAAUAUUAAAAAAAAUAUUUUUUUUCAAUCCUAAUCAAGUUCUAGUCGUUAUCAAUCAUCAGGAAAAUAAAUUUCUCAGACAAAAACAGGAGGUAAAACCUCGGAUUAAUUUAUGAAACCAUGAUCAGAUUUUCAAAAAAAAUUAUGUAACAUGCAGUCCUUAACAGUUCUAGUUGAUUCAGAUCAGAUAAGAACAUUAAACAGGACAAUAAUGAUAAGUUUAAGCAAGUAACAGUCGGUUUCUUUCAACAUAUAGCAGUCAGAUUUUAAAAAAAUUGUUUAACUUUCAAUCCUAAACAGUUCUAAUGUGAAACUAUCAUCACGAAAAGUUUUAAACAAUUUUAAAAUCAGUUUCAGAUUAAGAACAUGUUGAAAACAAGUUCAGGUUCGAGAUUUUAAAAAGUUUAUGGUUUCUGGUUUUAUUUUAUUUGCAGAGACAUGUUGCUAAAUAUAGCUACAUGGCUGCGGAUGGGGGGUAUUUAAUACUUUUAUGGGUUUUAGAUGAGUUUUCGAUGAUACCUGAAAACUUUUGAUGGGUUGAUCGGUCUAUCAGUUAGAGAUCUUCCUUGUUAGCUGAUGGAUUGCUCGGAAUUAUUGUUUUUGUUGCUGCUUGUUAGAAUAAGAGACUGAUAUAUGGUUGAGAGAGAUUUUGGUUUCUGGAACAAAUUUUCCGCCUGUAUUGUAGCUGAGUGUGAGGGCGCGUCCGAACUCCGAUUGAUGCGGGGUUAGCGGCGUUGGCUUCAUCUCGUCAAGAGCUUUAAUUUGGUAUCUGGCUCGUCGUCUGGAUCCACCGGAGUUGAAGGAUAGAGCUGUUUGAAGUUCGUCGGGAAUUAGGGUUUUUACUGCUCAGAUUUAUUUCUGGUUUUUUGGGUUAGACUUUAUGAGAGCAACGUCGUGCUGAUAACGUGUUGUAAAUGAAGUGUUGGGGAAAUACUUCUGUUAUUAUUAGUGUCGACCAGAAAGUCAAUAUAUAUACAAGGUAUUAGACCGUCAUAAGGUCAUGUUUAUCAUAAAAAGAUAAGGAUAAGGAUAAACACUAUGUUACAGAUAUACAUGGAAUAUAUACUAGAUAAACACAUAGUCUCUGGUUGUGUUUAUCAUGCCCCGGAUUGAGCCUGCAGUACGGGCUGGUCCAUGGUCGAUCAUCAUUUGGUUUAUAACAAUAUUUUUAUUUUCCAAUAUUUUUGAGAUUUUACAGUAUCACCAGUCAAAACCUACGAUUUGAAUUAAACUUCCCAAUAUCUUAUUAAUAUAGCAAACAUUACAUUCAAGUUGAUUCAAUUUAUAGGGCACAAUAUUAUAAGUGCUACAGACAAACAACGUAACUUAUUACAACAAACCAAACAAGAAAAAAAAAGGCUUCUAGGGAACUUCAAUUCUUAAGAUUUAUAAUUAAGGACUAGGCUUCAAGGUGUUGGCAACAUCAAUCACAAAACGGUAUCUAACGUCAGCCUUCUGGAGCCGUUCCAUGGCAGUGUUGACAUAAUCCGCAGAGAUAAGCUCAAUAUCUGCCGUGAUGUUGUGUUUUCCGGCCAAAUCCAUCAUCUCUUGAGUCUCUUUUAUCCCUCCUACCAUACUUCCC